UACAGAGGGGGCAAGCGUUGUCCGGAAUUACUGGGCGUAAAGAGCUCGUAGGUGGUUUGUCGCGUUGUCCGUGAAAACUCACAACUCAAUUGUGGGCGUGCGGGCGAUACGGGCAGACUGGAGUACUGCAGGGGAGACUGGAAUUCCUGGUGUAGCGGUGGAAUGCGCAGAUAUCAGGAGGAACACCGGUGGCGAAGGCGGGUCUCUGGGCAGUAACUGACGCUGAGGAGCGAAAGCGUGGGGAGCGAACAGG
RNAcentral lists this ribosomal RNA (253 nucleotides) under uncultured bacterium. Its description in RNAcentral is "partial 16S ribosomal RNA". It matches the Rfam family "Bacterial small subunit ribosomal RNA", at positions 524 to 776 of the family's 1533-position model. RNAcentral also lists the same sequence under 1 other name. The record is from RNAcentral.